UUGCGGUUAAAAAGCUCGUAGUUGGAUUUCUGUUGAGGAUGACCGGUCCGCUCUUUGAGCGCGUAUCUGGUUCAGCCUUGGCAUCCUCUUGGGGAACGCUACUGUGCUUGAUUGCAUGGGGCGGUAUUCAAGACUUUUACUUUGAGGAAAUUAGAGUGUUCACUGCAAGCGUUAGCAAUUGAACACAUUAGCAUGGAAUAAUAAUAUAGGACCUUGGUACUAUUUUGUUGGUUUCUAGAACUAAGGUAAUGAUUAAUAGGGACAAUUGGGGGCAUUCGUAUUAACGCGUCAGAGGUGGAAUUCUUAGAUUGCGUUACGACGAACUACUGCGAAAGCAUUUGCCAAGGAUGGUUUCAUUGAUCAAGAACGAAAGUAUGGGGAUCGAAGACGCUUAGAUACCGUCGUAGUCUAUACCAUAAACUAUGCCAACUAGAGAUUGGAGGUCGUUCUCUUUAUGACUCCUUCAGCACCUUACGAGAAAUCAAAGUCUUUGGGUUCCGGGGGGAGUAUGGUCGCAAGGCUGAAACUUAAA
RNAcentral lists this ribosomal RNA (532 nucleotides) under uncultured marine eukaryote. Its description in RNAcentral is "SSU rRNA". It matches the Rfam family "Eukaryotic small subunit ribosomal RNA", at positions 613 to 1148 of the family's 1831-position model. The record is from RNAcentral.